CAAUAGCGUAUAUUAAAGUUGUUGCAGUUAAAAAGCUCGUAGUUGGAUUUCUGGUGGGAGCGAUCGGUCUGGCGCUUAGCGCGAGUACUUGCAUCGUCUCCGGCCAUCCUUGGGGAAAGUCUGUCUGGCAUUAAGCUGUCGGGCAGAGGAUCCUCAUCGUUUACUGUGAAAAAAUUAGAGUGUUCAAAGCAGGCUUAUGCCGUUGAAUAUAUUAGCAUGGAAUAAUAAGAUAGGACUUUGGUACUAUUUUGUUGGUUUGCGCACCAAAGUAAUGAUUAAUAGGGACAGUUGGGGGUAUUCGUAUUCCGUUGUCAGAGGUGAAAUUCUUGGAUUUACGGAAGACGAACUACUGCGAAAGCAUUUACCAAGGAUGUUUUCAUUAA
This 383-nucleotide ribosomal RNA is filed under the name uncultured eukaryote. RNAcentral's name for it is "partial 18S ribosomal RNA". It matches the Rfam family "Eukaryotic small subunit ribosomal RNA", at positions 592 to 976 of the family's 1831-position model. The record is from RNAcentral.